RNAcentral lists this transfer RNA (74 nucleotides) under Pseudonocardiaceae bacterium. RNAcentral's name for it is "tRNA-Leu". It matches the Rfam family "tRNA". From Rfam's summary of the family: Transfer RNA (tRNA) molecules are approximately 80 nucleotides in length. Their secondary structure includes four short double-helical elements and three loops (D, anti-codon, and T loops). The record is from RNAcentral. Lineage: Bacteria; Bacillati; Actinomycetota; Actinomycetes; Pseudonocardiales; Pseudonocardiaceae.
GCCGGCGUGCCCCAACUGGCAGAGGGACUCGGCUUAGAACCGAUUCAGUGCGGGUUCGAAUCCCGCCGCCGGCA